Molecule: ribosomal RNA, 480 nt
Filed under: uncultured bacterium
Lineage: Bacteria
Description: bacterial SSU rRNA
Rfam family: Bacterial small subunit ribosomal RNA
Source: RNAcentral
GAACGCUGGGCGGCGUGCCUUACACAUGCAAGUCGAGCGAGGCGGCCCGCAAGGGGUCAGUCGAGCGGCGAACGGGUGAGUAACGCGUGGAUAACCUGCCCAGAGGUGGGGGAUAACCCGGGGAAACUCGGGCUAAUACCGCAUGAUACCGAAAGGUCAAAGGGGGCUCGCAAGGGCUCUCGCCAUAGGAGGGGUCCGCGUCCGAUUAGCUAGUUGGUAGGGUAAUGGCCUACCAAGGCGACGAUCGGUAGCCGGCCUGAGAGGGUGAUCGGCCACACUGGAACUGAGACACGGUCCAGACUCCUACGGGAGGCAGCAGUGGGGAAUUUUGCGCAAUGGGCUAACGCCUGACGCAGCAACGCCGCGUGGAGGAUGAAGGUCUUUGGAUUGUAAACUCCUGUCAGCAGGGAAAAAGCGAAUCGGCCUAACACGCCGGUGAGUUGAUUGUACCUGCAGAGGAAGCCCCGGCUAACUCUGUGC